RNAcentral lists this ribosomal RNA (468 nucleotides) under uncultured bacterium. RNAcentral describes it as "partial 16S ribosomal RNA". It matches the Rfam family "Bacterial small subunit ribosomal RNA", at positions 28 to 507 of the family's 1533-position model. The record is from RNAcentral.
GACGAACGCUGGCGGCGGGCUUAACACAUGCAAGUCGAACGGAAAGGCCCUGCUUUUGUGGGGUUCUCGAGUGGCGAACGGGUGAGUAACACGUGAGUAACCUGCCCUUGACUUUGGGAUAACUUCAGGAAACUGGGGCUAAUACCGGAUAGGAUCUCCUGCUGCAUGGUGGGGGUUGGAAAGUUUCGGCUGUUGGGGUUGGACUCGCGGCUUAUCAGCUUGUUGGUGGGGUAGUGGCUUACCAAGGCUUUGACGGGUAGCCGGCCUGAGAGGGUGACCGGGCACAUUGGGACUGCGAGAGGGACCAGACUGCUACGGGAGGCAACGGUGGGAAAUAUUGCACAAUGGGACGGAGCCUGAUGAAGAAACGCCGCGUGCGGGAAGACGGCCUUCGGGGUGAAAACAGCUUUCGCCUGUGACGAAGCGGGAGUGACGGUAAUGGGUAAAGAAGCACCGGCUAACUACGUG